This 646-nucleotide ribosomal RNA is filed under the name Pantoea sp. RNAcentral describes it as "bacterial SSU rRNA". It matches the Rfam family "Bacterial small subunit ribosomal RNA", at positions 776 to 1412 of the family's 1533-position model. The record is from RNAcentral. Lineage: Bacteria; Pseudomonadati; Pseudomonadota; Gammaproteobacteria; Enterobacterales; Erwiniaceae.
AUUAAGAUACUCCUGGUAGUCCACCCCCGUAAACGAUGUCGACUUGGAGGUGUGUUUCCCUUGAGGGAGUGGGCUUCCGGGAGCUAAACGCCGUUAAAUCGGACCCCCCGGGGAGUACGGCGGCAAGGUUAAAACUCCAAAUGAAUUUGACGGGGGGCCGCACAAGCGGUGGAGCAUGUGGUUUAAUUUGAUGCAACGCGAAGGGCCUUACCUACUCUUGACAUCCAGAGAACUUUGCAGAGAUGGUUUGGUGCCUUCGGGAACUCUGAGACAGGUACUGCAUGGCUGUCGUCAGCUCGUGUUGUGAAAAGUUGGGUUUAGUCCCGCAACGAGCGCAACCCUUAUCCUUUGUUGCCAGCGAUUCGGUCGGGAACUCAAAGGAGACUGCCGGUGAUAAACCGGAGGAAGGUGGGGAUGACGUCAAGUCAUCAUGCCCCACGAGUAGGGCUACACACCUGCUACAAUGGCGCAUACAAAGAGAAGCGACCUCGCGAGAGCAAGCGGACCUCACAAAGUGCGUCGCAGUUCGGAUCGGAGUCUGCAACUCGACUCCGUGAAGUCGGAAUUUCUUGUAAUCGUGGAUCAAAAAUAACACGGUGAAUACGUUCCCGGGCCUUGUACCACCGCCCCUUACAGCAUGGAUGGU